RNAcentral lists this ribosomal RNA (628 nucleotides) under uncultured Atheliaceae. RNAcentral's name for it is "eukaryotic LSU rRNA". The stretch from base 216 to 370 matches the Rfam family "5.8S ribosomal RNA". Lineage: Eukaryota; Fungi; Basidiomycota; Agaricomycetes; Atheliales; Atheliaceae. The record is from RNAcentral.
UCCGUAGGUGAACCUGCGGAAGGAUCAUUAUUGAAAUUAUCGGUGAGGGUUGCUGCUGGCCUUUCGAGGCAUGUGCACGCCCGAGCCUUUAAAUCCACAUACACCUGUGAAGGGCCCGUAACAAAGGCCCCUACGUCUUUAUCAUCAACCCAUUGCAUGUCUCAUAGAAUGUCAUUCAAUAUCUUCGCCUUAACAAAGCGUCGGUAAACUUAUACAACUUUCAACAACGGAUCUCUUGGCUCUCGCAUCGAUGAAGAACGCAGCGAAAUGCGAUAAGUAAUGUGAAUUGCAGAUUUUCAGUGAAUCAUUGAAUCUUUGAACGCACCUUGCGCCCCUUGGUAUUCCGAGGGGCAUGCCUGUUUGAGUGUCAUUAAAUUCUCAACUUCAUUUGAUUUGUUUCAAACAUGGAGCUUGGACUUGGAGUGUGCUGGCGUUAACCGUCGGCUCCUCUCAAAUGCAUCGGCGGAAUUGAACCUUUGACCUCCGGAUGUCAGUGUGAUAAUUAAACGUUGCGCUGUCGACCGGGGGGUUGGAGUCCGCUUACAAUCGUCCUCGGACAACUUAUCGAAUUUGACCUCAAAUCAGGUAGGACUACCCGCUGAACUUAAGCAUAUCAAUAAGCGGAGGA